RNAcentral lists this small nuclear RNA (154 nucleotides) under Crocodylus porosus (Australian saltwater crocodile). RNAcentral's name for it is "U1 spliceosomal RNA (ENSCPRG00005018692.1)". It matches the Rfam family "U1 spliceosomal RNA". From Rfam's summary of the family: U1 is a small nuclear RNA (snRNA) component of the spliceosome (involved in pre-mRNA splicing). Its 5' end forms complementary base pairs with the 5' splice junction, thus defining the 5' donor site of an intron. The record is from RNAcentral. Lineage: Eukaryota; Metazoa; Chordata; Crocodylia; Crocodylidae.
UUACUUACCUGGCCGGGGAAAUACCAUGAUCACCACAGUGGUUUUCCCAGGACAGGAGAUAGUCACUUUGCUGACAUGGGUACCCUCCCAUGUUCAUUUUCCGUGGAAGAUCUUGGCUUUACACUCACUUUAUGGAAAUGAGAGACUCCUCUCU